Molecule: ribosomal RNA, 806 nt
Filed under: uncultured Thiobacillus sp.
Lineage: Bacteria; Pseudomonadati; Pseudomonadota; Betaproteobacteria; Nitrosomonadales; Thiobacillaceae
Description: bacterial SSU rRNA
Rfam family: Bacterial small subunit ribosomal RNA
Source: RNAcentral
AUUGAACGCUGGCGGAAUGCUUUACACAUGCAAGUCGAACGGCAGCACGGGAGCUUGCUCCUGGUGGCGAGUGGCGAACGGGUGAGUAAUGCGUCGGAACGUACCGAGUAAUGGGGGAUAACGCAGCGAAAGCUGUGCUAAUACCGCAUACGCCCUGAGGGGGAAAGUGGGGGAUCGCAAGACCUGACGUUAUUCGAGCGGCCGACGUCUGAUUAGCUAGUUGGUGGGGUAAUGGCCUACCAAGGCGACGAUCAGUAGCGGGUCUGAGAGGAUGAUCCGCCACACUGGAACUGAGACACGGUCCAGACUCCUACGGGAGGCAGCAGUGGGGAAUUUUGGACAAUGGGGGCAACCCUGAUCCAGCCAUUCCGCGUGAGUGAAGAAGGCCUUCGGGUUGUAAAGCUCUUUCAGCUGGAACGAAUCGGUACGCUCUAACAUAGCGUGCUAAUGACGGUACCGGCAGAAGAAGCACUGGCUAACUACGUGCCAGCAGCCGCGGUAAUACGUAGGGUGCGAGCGUUAAUCGGAAUUACUGGGCGUAAAGCGUGCGCAGGCGGAUUGUUAAGCAAGAUGUGAAAUCCCCGGGCUUAACCUGGGAAUGGCAUUUUGAACUGGCAGUCUAGAGUGCGUCAGAGGGGGGUGGAAUUCCACGUGUAGCAGUGAAAUGCGUAGAGAUGUGGAGGAACACCAAUGGCGAAGGCAGCCCCCUGGGAUGACACUGACGCUCAUGUACGAAAGCGUGGGUAGCAAACAGGAUUAGAUACCCUGGUAGUCCACGCCCUAAACGAUGUCAACUGGUUGUUGGG